Molecule: ribosomal RNA, 526 nt
Filed under: uncultured bacterium
Lineage: Bacteria
Description: bacterial SSU rRNA
Rfam family: Bacterial small subunit ribosomal RNA
Source: RNAcentral
GGCUCAGGACGAACGCUGGCGGCGUGCCUAAUACAUGCAAGUCGAACGGUCUUUUCUGUGGAAGCUUGCUUCCACUGAGAAGAUAGUGGCGAACGGGUGAGUAACACGUGGGUAACCUGCCCAUAAGAGGGGGGAUAACAUCCGGAAACGGGUGCUAAUACCGCAUAGUUUUCUUGAUCGCAUGAUCGGGAAAGGAAAGACGGCCUUUGUGCUGUCGCUUAUGGAUGGACCCGCGGCGUAUUAGUUAGUUGGUGAGGUAACGGCUCACCAAGACGAUGAUACGUAGCCGACCUGAGAGGGUGAUCGGCCACAUUGGGACUGAGACACGGCCCAAACUCCUACGGGAGGCAGCAGUAGGGAAUCUUCCGCAAUGGACGAAAGUCUGACGGAGCAACGCCGCGUGAGUGAAAGAAGGUUUUCGGAUCGUAAAACUCUGUUGUCAGAGAAGAACAAGUUGGAGAGUAACUGCUCCAGCCUUGACGGUAUCUGACCAGAAAGCCACGGCUAACUACGUGCCAGCCGCCGC